Long non-coding RNA from Peromyscus eremicus (cactus mouse), 1502 nucleotides. RefSeq lists it as uncharacterized. NCBI's taxonomy places the organism in Eukaryota, Metazoa, Chordata, Mammalia, Rodentia, Cricetidae. The record is from RefSeq and is a predicted model, not a curated record. The transcript has 3 exons.
GGGAGAGAGGAGGGGGAAAGGAAGAAGGGGAGGGGGAGAUGGGGAGAGAGGAGGGGGAAGAUCCUCCUGUCUUCUUUCUGACCUCCACCAGGGUCUCUUGACUGUCUGGUCUCUUCCUGAUCUCAUUAAAUGCUGCCUAUUUGUCUCCAGUUUUCUCUGUUUUUUUCUUUGUUUUCUCCUGUAACUUCUACCCCUCCUUCCUCUCUUUUUCCUGCCCUCUUCCCAUCCUCAUUUUCUUUGAUAGGAAUUUCCACAACUCAGGGGUGAACCAUGUCAGCUGCUAACCCAGUCAUCUGUGUGGGAGAAGCCAGCCAGGAGGGACAGUGAUACUGAGAAAUAACAGAAGGAAGAAAAGCAGCUUUUCCCAUCUGCAGUAUCAAUGCAAUAUCAAUAGAAUCAAUGUCCUCUGAAGAAAGCUACUGAAAGAUUUUGAAAAUAAGAGAUGAACUUUGAGCACGUUAUUUUUGAGGAGCAGGUAUUUUGCCUUGUGAGGUAUAAAGCGUCUUGGUGCCCAAAUAUCCCUGAUACAUGUUUAUUCUCCUUUUGGACAGAGGGGUCAAGCCACACCCCACUAGAUGGGAACACAGGUCAUGGUCAGUGCCACCUUGGUUCUGGCAUUGACCUUCACCUCAGCUUUCCAGGGGAUGCAGGCAGAAUGCGGCACCCUGCAGUGAGUUAACCUGUGAGACAGGAGAGUCAUCUGAACUACACACCAAGAACCUCCCAGUAACAUCCUGGAACAGGGAGGGGUGAAACCUCCGCUCUCCUAAAACAUAAAUCAGAGAUGUGGGGAGCUCUUGUGCUCUAAGGAGGAGAUUUGAGAGGCAUGCUGAAUUUCUGCGGUCAUACCAAGGGCUGAGGACACUAGCCAACAAGAGUUCCCUUGCAAACUCCAGAAAACACGCCUGGUCCUCUGACUCCUCGGCAGGUUCUUCAGGUUAUCUCACAUCCUGCUGCUUUGGAAUAACACACACAGUGUGUCUGCAUGGAGGCACUAGAAGGUUGCCACCCUUUGCCCCCCCCCCCCAAUAAGACUCCAAUCUGAUGAAAGAUUUGAACUGGAGGCUCAAGGACAUUAAGUGGCCAGUGCAUUCAUCCAACAAAUCACCCACACUGUAGUAGCCAUGACAACUACUAGAACACAAUGCCCUCUGAGAAGAUCCACUCCAUACUCUCGUGAGGUGUGGAUUAUCCUUACCCGACUAAAACACAAAAUGGACCAAUUAAGAGUAGGUCCAGACUUUGGAUAAAAAGCCUGUUUAUCUCCAUAUUUGGAUCCCUAGAUUCUAUAGCCUUGCCAAAGACUUAACAAUAAUGAAAGCCACUGGAAAACCAUCAGAUUAUGUAGAGGAUGCUGGGAAAGAAUUAUCCUAAGAGGGGCCCAGCUUCCCUUCCUACUGUGUUAUGUUGACGAGCUGCAGAAGAGGAGCAGGGUGUGUGGAAAAGGAAACAGCGGCAACCCUUCAACAAAGCUUAAUAGGUUGAAAGGUUUCCUGACUAGC